RNAcentral lists this long non-coding RNA (320 nucleotides) under Olea europaea subsp. europaea. Lineage: Eukaryota; Viridiplantae; Streptophyta; Magnoliopsida; Lamiales; Oleaceae. The record is from RNAcentral.
UCUCAUUCUUAUUUUUUCAACUGACUCAAUUAACUUCCAAACACUCUCAUCAAACUACACAAUCAAAUUAAAACAUGGAUUAUAACAGACUCACAAACUACACAACCAUGCAGAGACUCAUCAAACUGAACAACCAAAUUAAAACAUGGACACAAAAUCAAAAAGAUUUUAUGACUCAAAUAACAAUACUAAAUCCUAAGUUUAAUUUCUUCAGAGUACAACGUACAUUCCAAUGAAAUAUCUAGAAAAGGGUAAUGCCGGAAUAAAAUGUGAAGUCGACGCCAUCUUCCUCACAAUUGAUCUCCAAACUCUGUGUUCAC